This 253-nucleotide ribosomal RNA is filed under the name uncultured bacterium. Its description in RNAcentral is "partial 16S ribosomal RNA". It matches the Rfam family "Bacterial small subunit ribosomal RNA", at positions 524 to 776 of the family's 1533-position model. The record is from RNAcentral.
UACGUAGGGGGCGAGCGUUGUCCGGAAUCAUUGGGCGUAAAGGGCGUGUAGGCGGUUUGUUAAGUCAUGUGUGAAAUCCCUCGGCUCAACCGGGGAACGACGCAUGAAACUGGCAAGCUAGAGUACGGAAGAGGCGAGUGGAAUUCCCGGUGUAGCGGUGAAAUGCGCAGAUAUCGGGAGGAACACCAAUUGCGAAGGCAGCUCGCUGGGACGUCACUGACGCUGAGACGCGAAAGCGUGGGGAGCAAACAGG